GUUUGUUUGUGAUUUGUUUUAUGAACUGUUGUUUUAUCUGUAUUGUUGGUUCGUUACGCAGAGACAUCUUCAAGGUACAGGAAGAUAUCUUCAAGAAACUUCUAUAUGAUAAUGUUGUUAAAUGAAGCAUGAAAAAAGUCUGUUGAUUAAUUUCAGUGCGCUUCCUACCUUGAAAUUUCUGACGUUUUAACUUUUAUUUCAGGUUAAAUCUCAACUACUCUCAACAGGGUUCACGGGUUACGCGAGGAGUAAAAAUCCUUGCUGGUAUAAGGCCACAACUACAAAAAGAAAGACCUGACAAGCC
This is a long non-coding RNA of Macrobrachium nipponense, 304 nucleotides long. RefSeq lists it as uncharacterized. Lineage: Eukaryota; Metazoa; Arthropoda; Malacostraca; Decapoda; Palaemonidae. The record is from RefSeq and is a predicted model, not a curated record. The transcript has 3 exons.